UAAUUUUUGAGACAAAUGAUGAUCUUACUGGGAACAGUUACCAAUUAAUUCUUGGUCAAUCCGUAGUCGUCGUGGCCGAGUGGUUAAGGCGACAGACUCGAAUUCUGUUGGGCUCUGCCCGCACAGGUUCGAAUCCUGUCGGCGACGUUCUUUUUCCUAUUUUUGAAAUGAAUGAUGAUCUUACUCGGAACGGUUUCAAAUUAAAUCUUUAAUGCAACCGUAGUCGUCGUGGCCGAGUGGUUAAGGCGACAGACUUGAAAUCUGUUGGGCUCUGCCCGCACAGGUUCGAAUCCUGUCGGCGACGUUCUUUUUCUUAUUUUUGAAAUGAAUGAUGAUCUUACUCGGAACAGUUUCAAAUUAAACCUUUAAUGCAACCGUAGUCGUCGUGGCCGAGCGGUUAAGGCGACAGACUAGAAAUCUUUUGGGCUCUGCCCGCACAGGUUCGAAUCCUGUCGGCGACGUUCUUCUUCUAAUUUUUGAGACAAAUGAUGAUCUUACUCGGAACGGUUACAAAUUAAUUCAUGGUCAAACCGUAGUCGUCGUGGCCAAGUGGUUAAGGCGACAGACUUGAAAUCUGUUGGGCUCUGCCCGCCCAGGUUUGAAUCCCGUCGGCGACGUUCUUUUUCUAAUUUUUGAGUCAAAUGAUGAUCUUACUCGGAACGGUUACAAAUUAAUUCUUUGAUGAAACCGUAGUCGUCGUGGCCGAGUGGUUAAGGCGACAGACUUGAAAUCUUUUGGGCUGUGCCCGCACAGGUUCGAAUCCUUUCGGCGACGUUCUUCUUCUAAUUUUUGAGACAAAUGAUGAUCUUACUCGGAACGGUUACAAAUUAAUUCUUUGAUGAAACCGUAGUCGUCGUGGCCGAGUGGUUAAGGCGACAGACUCGAAAUCUGUUGGGCUAUGCCCGCCCAGGUUCGAAUCCUGUCGGCGACGUUCUUUUUCUUAUUUUUGAAAUGAAUGAUGAUCUUACUCGGAACGGUUUCAAAUUAAACCUUUAAUGCAACCGUAGUCGUCGUGGCCGAGUGGUUAAGGCGACAGACUUGAAAUCUGUUGGGCUCUGCCCGCACAGGUUCGAAUCCUGUCGGCGACGUUCUUUUUCUAAUUUU
This is a non-coding RNA of Ciona intestinalis (vase tunicate), 1104 nucleotides long. NCBI's taxonomy places the organism in Eukaryota, Metazoa, Chordata, Ascidiacea, Phlebobranchia, Cionidae. The record is from RefSeq and is a predicted model, not a curated record.